GACGAACGCUGGCGGCGUGCUUAACACAUGCAAGUCGAACGGAAAGGCCCUGCUUUUGUGGGGUGCUCGAGUGGCGAACGGGUGAGUAACACGUGAGUAACCUGCCACUGACUUUGGGAUAACUUCAGGCAACUGGGGCUAAUACGGGAUAGGAGCUCCUGCUGCAUGGUGGGGGUUGGAAAGUUUCUGCGGUUGGGGAUGGACUCGCGGCUUAUCAGCUUGUUGGUGGGGUAGUGGCUUACCAAGGCUUUGACGGGUAGCCGGGCUGAGAGGGUGACCGGCCACAUUGGGACUGAGAUACGGCCCAGACUCCUACGGGAGGCAGCAGUGGGGAAUAUUGCACAAUGGGCGGAAGCCUGAUGCAGCAACGCCGCGGGCGGGAUGACGGCCUUCGGGUUGUAAACCGCUUUCGCCUGUGACGAAGCGUGAGUGACGGUAAUGGGUAAAGAAGCACCGGCUAACUACGUG
This 468-nucleotide ribosomal RNA is filed under the name uncultured bacterium. Its description in RNAcentral is "partial 16S ribosomal RNA". It matches the Rfam family "Bacterial small subunit ribosomal RNA", at positions 28 to 507 of the family's 1533-position model. The record is from RNAcentral.